UACGUAGGGUGCAAGCGUUAAUCGGAAUUACUGGGCGUAAAGCGUGCGCAGGCGGUUUUGUAAGUCUGACGUGAAAUCCCCGGGCUCAACCUGGGAAUUGCGUUGGAGACUGCAAGGCUAGAAUCUGGCAGAGGGGGGUAGAAUUCCACGUGUAGCAGUGAAAUGCGUAGAGAUGUGGAGGAACACCGAUGGCGAAGGCAGCCCCCUGGGUCAAGAUUGACGCUUAUGCACGAAAGCGUGGGGAGCAAACAGG
This 253-nucleotide ribosomal RNA is filed under the name uncultured bacterium. RNAcentral describes it as "partial 16S ribosomal RNA". It matches the Rfam family "Bacterial small subunit ribosomal RNA", at positions 524 to 776 of the family's 1533-position model. The record is from RNAcentral.